UAUGACUCUCGGCAAUGGAUAUCUUGGCUCUUGCAUCGAUGAAGAGCGCAGCGAAAUGCGAUACGUGGUGCGAAUUGCAGAAUCCCGUGAACCAUCGAGUUUUUGAACGCAAGUUGCGCCUGAGACCAACUGGUCGAGGGCACGUCCGCCUGGGCGUCAUGC
This 162-nucleotide ribosomal RNA is filed under the name Prasophyllum colensoi. RNAcentral describes it as "5.8S ribosomal RNA". It matches the Rfam family "5.8S ribosomal RNA". Rfam says of the family: 5.8S ribosomal RNA (5.8S rRNA) is a component of the large subunit of the eukaryotic ribosome. It is transcribed by RNA polymerase I as part of the 45S precursor that also contains 18S and 28S rRNA. The record is from RNAcentral. Lineage: Eukaryota; Viridiplantae; Streptophyta; Magnoliopsida; Asparagales; Orchidaceae.